Molecule: transfer RNA, 76 nt
Filed under: candidate division WOR-1 bacterium RIFCSPHIGHO2_02_FULL_45_12
Lineage: Bacteria; Bacillati
Also listed under: 2 other names
Description: tRNA-Ala
Rfam family: tRNA
About the family: Transfer RNA (tRNA) molecules are approximately 80 nucleotides in length.
Source: RNAcentral
GGGGCGGUAGUUCAGUUGGGAGAACGCAGCGUUCGCAACGCUGAGGUCAGGGGUUCAACUCCCCUCCGCUCCACAA